RNAcentral lists this transfer RNA (74 nucleotides) under Camelus dromedarius (Arabian camel). It matches the Rfam family "tRNA". Rfam says of the family: Transfer RNA (tRNA) molecules are approximately 80 nucleotides in length. Their secondary structure includes four short double-helical elements and three loops (D, anti-codon, and T loops). Further hydrogen bonds mediate the characteristic L-shaped molecular structure. tRNAs have two regions of fundamental functional importance: the anti-codon, which is responsible for specific mRNA codon recognition, and the 3' end, to which the tRNAs corresponding amino acid is attached (by aminoacyl-tRNA synthetases). tRNAs cope with the degeneracy of the genetic code in two manners: having more than one tRNA (with a specific anti-codon) for a particular amino acid; and 'wobble' base-pairing, i.e. permitting non-standard base-pairing at the 3rd anti-codon position. RNAcentral also lists the same sequence under 1 other name. Lineage: Eukaryota; Metazoa; Chordata; Mammalia; Artiodactyla; Camelidae. The record is from Rfam by way of RNAcentral.
GGGGGUAUAGCUCAAAGUGGUAGAGCACACGCUUAGCAUUUAUGAGGUCCUAGGUUCAAUCCCCGGUACCUCCU